This 203-nucleotide unclassified non-coding RNA is filed under the name uncultured fungus. RNAcentral's name for it is "sequence contains ITS1". Lineage: Eukaryota; Fungi. The record is from RNAcentral.
GUACAUUAGUGCUUGCGCACGACAAUAAAUUUCAUUACAUUCGAGUGUGUGUAAAAAUCCUCUGCCAGCCGAAGCUAGCAAGAGGCCAAAGGUGCACAGGGUAUCGGAUGAAAGUCACCGACGUGCACUUGCCGAGCCGGCCAGCACUGAAGGCGACCGAUUCACAAUCAUUAAUGAUCCUUCCGCAGGUUCACCUACGGAAA